UACGGGGGGAGCAAGCGUUGUUCGGAUUUACUGGGCGUAAAGGGCGCGUAGGCGGCCUGGCAAGUGGAUGGUGAAAUCCCUCGGCUUAACCGAGGAACUGCCAUCCAGACUGCUUGGCUUGAGACCGGGAGAGGCGAGUGGAAUUCCCAGUGUAGCGGUGAAAUGCGUAGAUAUUGGGAGGAACACCAGUGGCGAAGGCGGCCCUCUGGAUCGUUGCUGACGCUGAGACGCGAAAGCGUGGGGAGCAAACAGG
RNAcentral lists this ribosomal RNA (253 nucleotides) under uncultured bacterium. RNAcentral's name for it is "partial 16S ribosomal RNA". It matches the Rfam family "Bacterial small subunit ribosomal RNA", at positions 524 to 776 of the family's 1533-position model. The record is from RNAcentral.